RNAcentral lists this long non-coding RNA (1229 nucleotides) under Homo sapiens (human). RNAcentral's name for it is "HSALNT0366274". Lineage: Eukaryota; Metazoa; Chordata; Mammalia; Primates; Hominidae. The record is from RNAcentral.
GUGGGAAAGGGUUGGGGGGCGGGGGUGGAGAGCAUAGCAUCAGCAAAAGAGAAAAAGAAUAAAAAAGCGUAAUCUAUCGAAACAAAAAAAAUUAAUUUUUUUUUGUGGGAGGGGGAGGGGACCAGAAUGCGUGAUAAGAAUAAAGAACAAAGAUGAGGAAACUGGAGUGAAUCAGAAUAGCCCAUCAGUGCUUUGGUAUUCCCAGGGAUCCUAUAAAAGGGGGUGAACUACAGCUCCAAAACGGGGAGUCGGAGAAGUGCGCAGCAGCCGCGGCAGCUCCGCGACGCUCCCUUUGGCUACUCCUUCGCGCACUCUAACUCACUCACUCUUUUUUGGAUUUCGUCAUCUUUUCAAAAAAUCAAUAAAAAUAUUCUGGAGGCUCCGGGGGUCCACUUCUUGGUCUCAUCCGGAUCCCCAGAUCCUCCUCUAUCAUUCCCGACAAUUGGAAAAAAUGUCUGGGGGGGUCCCUGCGGCCCAGGGGCCGCUUUUGGGGGGGCGGGUGAGGAGAGGUGGGGAAGAGAGGGGGAGGGAGGAGAGGAGGAAGAGCGCCGCAGCCUCGGCAGCUGGAGUCGGAGCAGGGGGGGAUGGUUUCAAAAAAUAAUUAAAAAUCGAGGAAAUAUCCUAGAAAAGCCCUUUUGGCGUGAAAACCCCAAAGAAGAGCCAGGCUUCCCGAAACAGAGGUUUCGGGUGCCAGAAAGGUGUAAGCCUUUUUCUGGUUCACUACAUGCCAAGGACUGCGCUAAAUCAUUCACAUAAAACCACCAGCGUGCAUCACCUCAUUUGGUCCUCCCACAGUCUAACGGAAGAAUCUACCAUAAAACCAACAGACUCCUCCUGAUCUCUACCUGUGCUGUCUGCCUCUCUAGUUCCGGACACUGAGAGCUGGUGCCCUGUGGCCACCUCAAGCUGGAACCCUGCAAGAUCACCAAGAAGACUGCAUGCCUCGCUCUAGCCUUCCUAAGGGAAAGUAGACUCCUGUUUUUGAGAGAAAUUACCUGAUUUCAAGAGAAACAUAAAGGACUUUUUUUCCCUUAACAUUCCACUCGUAAAAAUGAAGUUUGGAAGAACUUCUGCAAACUCUGAGUGUUUUGGUCAAUUGACCUUUUACUGUACUAAGCAAAUCUGAAGCCACAAAUACAUUGGGGAGGAAGGUAUACCCUUCACAAAAGAUCCGUCACUUAGCCAGAUACUCUGUUGCCAUGCUUCUUUAAAUAAAGCACAUUUCUGGU